GAUGAACGCUGGCGGCGUGCCUAAUACAUGCAAGUCGAGCGAACAGACGAGGAGCUUGCUCCUCUGACGUUAGCGGCGGACGGGUGAGUAACACGUGGAUAACCUACCUAUAAGACUGGGAUAACUUCGGGAAACCGGAGCUAAUACCGGAUAAUAUAUUGAACCGCAUGGUUCAAUAGUGAAAGACGGUUUUGCUGUCACUUAUAGAUGGAUCCGCGCCGCAUUAGCUAGUUGGUAAGGUAACGGCUUACCAAGGCGACGAUGCGUAGCCGACCUGAGAGGGGGAUCGGCCACACUGGAACUGAGACACGGUCCAGACUCCUACGGGAGGCAGCAGUAGGGAAUCUUCCGCAAUGGGCGAAAGCCUGACGGAGCAACGCCGCGUGAGUGAUGAAGGUCUUCGGAUCGUAAAACUCUGUUAUUAGGGAAGAACAAAUGUGUAAGUAACUAUGCACGUCUUGACGGUACCUAAUCAGAAAGCCACGGCUAACUACGG
Molecule: ribosomal RNA, 496 nt
Filed under: uncultured bacterium
Lineage: Bacteria
Description: partial 16S ribosomal RNA
Rfam family: Bacterial small subunit ribosomal RNA
Source: RNAcentral